RNAcentral lists this ribosomal RNA (441 nucleotides) under uncultured bacterium. RNAcentral's name for it is "SSU rRNA". It matches the Rfam family "Bacterial small subunit ribosomal RNA", at positions 370 to 808 of the family's 1533-position model. The record is from RNAcentral.
UAUGGGCGCAGGCCUGAACCAGCCAAGUAGCGUGAAGGAUGACUGCCCUAUGGGUUGUAAACUUCUUUUAUAAAGGAAUAAAGUCGGGUAUGUAUACCCGUUUGCAUGUACUUUAUGAAUAAGGAUCGGCUAACUCCGUGCCAGCAGCCGCGGUAAUACGGAGGAUCCGAGCGUUAUCCGGAUUUAUUGGGUUUAAAGGGAGCGUAGAUGGAUGUUUAAGUCAGUUGUGAAAGUUUGCGGCUCAACCGUAAAAUUGCAGUUGAUACUGGAUAUCUUGAGUGCAGUUGAGGCAGGCGGAAUUCGUGGUGUAGCGGUGAAAUGCUUAGAUAUCACGAAGAACUCCGAUUGCGAAGGCAGCCUGCUAAGCUGCAACUGACAUUGAGGCUCGAAAGUGUGGGUAUCAAACAGGAUUAGAUACCCUGGUAGUCCAAGGGCGAAUUC